ACGAUGAUAGCUUGCUAUCAGGCGUCGAGCGGCGGACGGGUGAGUAAUACUUAGGAAUCUACCUAGUAGUGGGGGAUAGCACGGGGAAACUCGUAUUAAUACCGCAUACGACCUACGGGAGAAAGGGGGCAGUUUACUGCUCUCGCUAUUAGAUGAGCCUAAGUCGGAUUAGCUAGAUGGUGGGGUAAAGGCCUACCAUGGCGACGAUCUGUAGCUGGUCUGAGAGGAUGAUCAGCCACACCGGGACUGAGACACGGCCCGGACUCCUACGGGAGGCAGCAGUGGGGAAUAUUGGACAAUGGGGGAAACCCUGAUCCAGCCAUGCCGCGUGUGUGAAGAAGGCCUUUUGGUUGUAAAGCACUUUAAGCAGUGAAGAAGACUCCGUGGUUAAUACCCACGGACGAUGACAUUAGCUGCAGAAUAAGCACCGGCUAACUCUGUGCCAGCAGCCGCGGUAAUACAGAGGGUGCAAGCGUUAAUCGGAAUUACUGGGCGUAAAGGGAGCGUAGGUGGCUCGAUAAGUCAGAUGUGAAAUCCCCGGGCUCAACCUGGGAACUGCAUCUGAUACUGUUGAGCUAGAGUAUGUGAGAGGAAGGUAGAAUUCCAGGUGUAGCGGUGAAAUGCGUAGAGAUCUGGAGGAAUACCGAUGGCGAAGGCAGCCUUCUGGCAUAAUACUGACACUGAGGCUCGAAAGCGUGGGUAGCAAACAGGAUUAGAUACCCUGGUAGUCCACGCCGUAAACGAUGUCUACUAGUCGUUGGGUCCCUUGAGGACUUAGUGACGCAGCUAACGCAAUAAGUAGACCGCCUGGGGAGUACGGCCGCAAGGUUAAAACUCAAAUGAAUUGACGGGGGCCCGCACAAGCGGUGGAGCAUGUGGUUUAAUUCGAUGCAACGCGAAGAACCUUACCUGGUCUUGACAUAUCUAGAAUCCUGCAGAGAUGCGGGAGUGCCUUCGGGAAUUAGAAUACAGGUGCUGCAUGGCUGUCGUCAGCUCGUGUCGUGAGAUGUUGGGUUAAGUCCCGCAACGAGCGCAACCCUUGUCCUUAGUUACCAGCGGGUUAAGCCGGGAACUCUAAGGAUACUGCCAGUGACAAACUGGAGGAAGGCGGGGACGACGUCAAGUCAUCAUGGCCCUUACGACCAGGGCUACACACGUGCUACAAUGGUAGGUACAGAGGGCAGCUACACAGCGAUGUGAUGCGAAUCUCAAAAAGCCUAUCGUAGUCCAGAUUGGAGUCUGCAACUCGACUCCAUGAAGUAGGAAUCGCUAGUAAUCGCGGAUCAGAAUGCCGCGGUGAAUACGUUCCCGGGCCUUGUACACACCGCCCGUCACACCAUGGGAGUUGAUUGC
RNAcentral lists this ribosomal RNA (1353 nucleotides) under Psychrobacter fozii. RNAcentral's name for it is "bacterial SSU rRNA". It matches the Rfam family "Bacterial small subunit ribosomal RNA", at positions 70 to 1418 of the family's 1533-position model. The record is from RNAcentral. Lineage: Bacteria; Pseudomonadati; Pseudomonadota; Gammaproteobacteria; Moraxellales; Moraxellaceae.